Small nucleolar RNA from Nannospalax galili (Upper Galilee mountains blind mole rat), 127 nucleotides. NCBI's taxonomy places the organism in Eukaryota, Metazoa, Chordata, Mammalia, Rodentia, Spalacidae. The record is from Ensembl.
AGCUCUUCUGUGAGUGUUGUUGAGAUGGCACAUUUCAAGACUUAAACACAAGUGUAAAAAGAAAUCCUCUUUUGCAAUCUAGAACUCUUCCUCUGUAUGAGUUUUGACACAUAUAAGAAGGAAUGCA